ACCACCCAAGCAGAUUUUCCAUUCCUUAACCAUCUGAGCAAAGAAACCCUUCAGUUGCUUUCAUAGAGGCACUGAAAUUGUCUAAAAAAUCUGCAUAACACAUUUCAGAGUUUCUAAAAGGGGCCUUUUAGAAUCGACAACGACGCUUCAGUGUUUUGCUUAGCCAUACCAAACCUGAAAAGACCCAAAAUAACUAUUUGAUCUCGUUACUGAUCUGCUUCCCCAGUCCCAAAUCGUUGAAUCGUCGAUUGAGGUAUCAUUAGGAGCCCAAUUGUUGUCGAUCUACUUCUACUGCCUUAUGCGCGAAAGAGGGAAUGGCUCCAGCAAGAUAAGUUUCUACAUUUCUUUUUAGCCCUUCUGUUGCCAAGAGACGUGCAACACCAUUUGCAUGUUUUGGCACAUAAUGAAAAACACAGUGUUGAUAUCGCUCGCAUGUUGUUCUUAUGUUACAAAUGUAUGCCCCUAUUUUUGACCUUUCGACUCCCUUUUCUUUCAGUUUUUGGAUCACAGCCAAGGAGUCACAUUCGAUUUCCACACUAGAAAACCCAAUUGAAAGCCUAUCUCAGUCGCUUGGAAACAAGCCAUCCCCUUCGCUACAAACGGUGAAGGAUUUGUUAUUUUGUUGACAAAAUCCUGCAUCGAAGUUUAUUUUAAAGAAAUGUUCUUGUGGCAACUUCCAAGACACUAUAGUGGAAUGUUGUCCUUCAUGCAAUAACUUAUUACGCUCAGUCCAUAUAGCUCACAUCACACAACAAAACACACGACAAAGGCAUUCCUAGAACACAUGUUCCACUGUUUCAACACCAUUGUGACAUCGAGGACAAUUUUCUGAAAUAAUCAGUCGGUCGUAAUUCAAAUUAGCAUAAGUAGGUAGAAAAUCAUUUGUAAUCCUCCAGGCUGUAAUUUUAAUUUUGGAGAGCUGGUCUAGGCUCCAAAGUCUCUUGUACAGAUUAGUGUAGGGAUAGGAAUUUCCUUCAGUAAAAAUUUCGUGAUGAUUAUGUAUUAACCAUUUGUAAGCAUUGCGCACUGUGUACUCCCCUGUUGCUUAUCCAUUCCAAGCUCGAAAAUCCUCAUGUGGAACAUUAGAUAGAAGGAUGGCUAAGAUUCGCCUUGCAUUUUCUUGUAUAAAGGUAGAGUGUAUAACAUCCUCCUUCCAUUUCCUUGUUUUCGAAUCAAUUAAAUCUACCAAUCUUUGAAUAGAA
Long non-coding RNA from Gossypium raimondii (Peruvian cotton), 1202 nucleotides. RefSeq lists it as uncharacterized. The transcript has 4 exons. Lineage: Eukaryota; Viridiplantae; Streptophyta; Magnoliopsida; Malvales; Malvaceae. The record is from RefSeq and is a predicted model, not a curated record.